This 352-nucleotide unclassified non-coding RNA is filed under the name soil metagenome. RNAcentral describes it as "partial contains 5.8S ribosomal RNA, internal transcribed spacer 2, and large subunit ribosomal RNA". The stretch from base 1 to 120 matches the Rfam family "5.8S ribosomal RNA", at positions 35 to 154 of the family's 154-position model. The record is from RNAcentral.
GAUGAAGAACGCAGCGAAAUGCGAUAAGUAAUGUGAAUUGCAGAAUUCAGUGAAUCAUCGAAUCUUUGAACGCACAUUGCGCCCGCCAGUAUUCUGGCGGGCAUGCCUGUUCGAGCGUCAUUACAACCCUCAGGCCCCCGGGCCUGGCGUUGGGGAUCGGCGGAGCCCCCCGUGGGCACACGCGGUCCCCCAAAUGCAGUGGCGGUCCCGCCGCAGCUUCCAUCGCGUAGUAGCUAACACCUCGCGACUGGAGAGCGGCGCGGCCACGCCGUAAAACACCCAACUCUUCUGAAGUUGACCUCGAAUCAGGUAGGAAUACCCGCUGAACUUAAGCAUAUCAAUAAGCGGAGGA